RNAcentral lists this small nucleolar RNA (138 nucleotides) under Ornithorhynchus anatinus (platypus). Lineage: Eukaryota; Metazoa; Chordata; Mammalia; Monotremata; Ornithorhynchidae. The record is from RNAcentral.
CACCUCUCAGGGUCGCACCUGGAGAAUUUCCAGUACUCUACCAGUCUUGGUUACGGGAGGGAGAGUCAAGCAGAGGUAUAUCCAUUCCAUUCCUAGCUUGGGCAGGGGCUAGAGAGUGGAAAGCAAUCCGCGACGUAA